GACGAACGCUGGCGGCGUGCCUAAUACAUGCAAGUCGAACGCAGUGGGGACGGGUGAGUAACACGUGGGUAACCUCCCAUCAGAGGGGAUAACACUUGGAAACAGGUGCUAAACCGAUACUGAUGGAUGGACCCGCGGUGCAUUAGCUAGUUGGUGAGGGAACGGCUCACCAAGGCCACGAUGCAUAGCCGACCUGGGAGGGUGAGCGGACACACUGGUAGUGAGAAACGGCCCAGACGACUAAGGGAGGCAGCAGUAGGGAAUCGUCGGCAAUGGACGAAAGUCGGACCGAGAAACGCCGCGUGAGUGAAGAAGGUUUUCGGAGCGUAAAACUCUGUGGUUAGAGAAGCGGUAUCUAACCAGAAAGCCACGGCUAACUACGUGCCAGCAGCCGCGGUAAUAC
Molecule: ribosomal RNA, 403 nt
Filed under: uncultured bacterium
Lineage: Bacteria
Description: partial 16S ribosomal RNA
Rfam family: Bacterial small subunit ribosomal RNA
Source: RNAcentral